AAGGUUAUAUUUUCAGGGAUCGUUUCUACAGUUUGUUACUAGAGAAGUUUCUCUGAGUGUGCAGAGCACUGGAAACCAUGAGGAGAAGACGCAGCCUUCUCUCCUGAGCAUGAAAUUGGCUCCUGGUGUUGCUUCAUUGCAACUGCCAUUCACCACUGGUGGUCGUUCUUCUCUCUCUUUGGGAGAGUAAGGGGGAGAGAAUGCAGUCUGAGUGGU
RNAcentral lists this small nucleolar RNA (216 nucleotides) under Prolemur simus (greater bamboo lemur). Its description in RNAcentral is "Small nucleolar RNA U3 (ENSPSMG00000006473.1)". It matches the Rfam family "Small nucleolar RNA U3". Rfam says of the family: Small nucleolar RNAs (snoRNAs) are involved in the processing and modification of rRNA in the nucleolus. There are two main classes of snoRNAs: the box C/D class, and the box H/ACA class. U3 snoRNA is a member of the box C/D class. The record is from Rfam by way of RNAcentral. Lineage: Eukaryota; Metazoa; Chordata; Mammalia; Primates; Lemuridae.